This 737-nucleotide unclassified non-coding RNA is filed under the name Hevea brasiliensis (rubber tree). The record is from RNAcentral. Lineage: Eukaryota; Viridiplantae; Streptophyta; Magnoliopsida; Malpighiales; Euphorbiaceae.
GGCCUCUUUAAUUCCACCACCAGUCUCAUUUAUCCCCUACUCCUCUUCCACUUCCAUCUGCCACCAAUCCUGCUCCAAUCUUUCCACCUCCAUCCUUCUCAAAAUCAUUCUCUAGUCCUCUUCCUCCAUCUCCAGCCUCGAUACGCCCUCUCCGUCUUCACCCACCUCCCCAUUCCCCGCCCACCUAUCUCCAACAAAUUCUUGAGGACUUCUUCUCGUAGUGCUAGGCCUAAAACUGUCCUUAGGAGGGAUUAUUCGGUGUAGAUAGGUUUAGGUUUCCUCCGCAGCUAAAAGCAGCUGCGAAGGUCUCUGCAUUGGAUGAGGGGAUGGAGAUUCAUGGGGUUGCCGCCAGGUUGGGUUUUGAUAAAGAUCCGGUUUGGUGGAUUUGUAUGCUGCAUGUGGAAGGAAUUUGGAGGCUCGAUUGGCGUUUGAUAAAAUGCCCUGUCGUGCUGUUCUUAUCUGGGGCAUCAUGAUUUAUGGGUGGGCUUGUUGACACUGCAUUAUUGCAUUUUCUAUUGCUGAAUCAAAGUGUUUUUUUUUUCUUUUAUUGAUGUUCAUUUUCCAACAGCUAUUGUAAAGUUUGCAGCUUUUUGAAGAGAUGAGGAGCUCUAAUUUAGAGCAAGAAAAGAUGGUCCUCUCCACCGUAACAGCUUGUGGUCGAGCUGGAAAUUUAAGCUAUGGAAAGCAUACUAUGAUUUCCUUAAAACUCAGCCCAACUAAACCUUUAUCCCAAAAAU